Long non-coding RNA from Protopterus annectens (West African lungfish), 300 nucleotides. RefSeq lists it as uncharacterized. The record is from RefSeq and is a predicted model, not a curated record. The transcript is spliced from 3 exons. Lineage: Eukaryota; Metazoa; Chordata; Ceratodontiformes; Protopteridae.
AGUCGGAUCCAAGUCAGUAGAAUGUGGCCGAGCCAGAUCCGAAGGUCAGAUCCGAGAUCCUGUUGUGAGGAAGAAUGAAGAAGACAACAUCAGAUUACUGCAUUUUCUGAUUACGCUUGUCAUGCUUUUCCAAAGAGGGAAAAUAUUGCACUUUCAAGGUUACGCAGGUUUCUUUCUGCGCACAGAGAGUGAUGCAUUAACUUGUACAUGGAGUUAUGCUGAGAUGUUUCAUACGAUGGGACUCACUGAUUGCUGUGUUGAAGGGAGGUCCAGAUGUGAGAAAUAUAAUCGCUUACUAAG